GGAUUGACGUAAUGGUCGUGCCUUAAGGGGUAUGAACUGUUGCUGUUGAUUUCUCACCUUCUGGAGAAACUUGAUGUCCUUAAUUUGGUGCGCCGGGGAAGCAGGACUGUUACCUUGAAAAAAUUAGAGUGCUUAAAGCAGGCUAUCGCCUGAAUACAUUAGCAUGGAAUAAUGAAAUAGGACGGCAUGGUUCUAUUUUGUUGGUUUCUAGGAUCACCGUA
This 221-nucleotide ribosomal RNA is filed under the name Campeiostachys nutans. RNAcentral describes it as "Elymus nutans partial small subunit ribosomal RNA". It matches the Rfam family "Eukaryotic small subunit ribosomal RNA", at positions 643 to 864 of the family's 1831-position model. The record is from RNAcentral. Lineage: Eukaryota; Viridiplantae; Streptophyta; Magnoliopsida; Poales; Poaceae.